CCUACGGGAGGCAGCAGUGGGGGAUAUUGCACAAUGGGGGGAACCCUGAUGCAGCGACGCCGCGUGGGGGAAGAAGCGCCUCGGCGCGUAAAGCCCCGUCAGCAGGGAAGAAAAUGACGGUACCUGAAGAAGAAGCCCCGGCUAAAUACGUGCCAGCAGCCGCGGUAAUACGCAGGGGGCAAGCGUUAUCCGGAUUUACUGGGUGUAAAGGGGGCGCAGGCGGCGAUGCAAGCCAGGAGUGAAAGCCCGGGGCCCAACCCCGGGACUGCUGUUGGAACUGCGUGGCUGGAGUGCAGGGAGGGCAGGCGGAAUUCGUGGUGUAGCGGUGAAAUGCGUAGAUAUCAGGAAGAACACCGGUGGCGAAGGCAGCCUGCUGGAGUGCAACUGACGUUGAGGCCCGAAAGCGUGGGGAGCGAACAGGAUUAGAUACCCCGGUAGUC
RNAcentral lists this ribosomal RNA (440 nucleotides) under uncultured bacterium. RNAcentral describes it as "partial 16S ribosomal RNA". It matches the Rfam family "Bacterial small subunit ribosomal RNA", at positions 338 to 795 of the family's 1533-position model. The record is from RNAcentral.